AGAACUACGUCAUCUACGUCUACUGAUGUAAGAACUACCUCACUUUCACCUCUUUUUUUUGGGGGGUGGAAAGAAAACAGGAGCUUUAUUCUAACGGGUUGUUGCAGAUUUCAAAACACUUUCGCAAAAGACUGGGAGAAUACCCAUGACUUCCCUAGAGGAGAGUUGGAUGCUCUAACCACUGGGUUACCCUGCUACUCCUCAUCACACCACGGCCCACGGACGAUGCCGGGACCGAGGGGUUACCUCAAAGUAUUCCC
Molecule: long non-coding RNA, 260 nt
Organism: Esox lucius (northern pike)
Lineage: Eukaryota; Metazoa; Chordata; Actinopteri; Esociformes; Esocidae
Exons: 3
Source: RefSeq, a predicted model, not a curated record